This is a long non-coding RNA of Penaeus monodon (black tiger shrimp), 224 nucleotides long. RefSeq lists it as uncharacterized. The record is from RefSeq and is a predicted model, not a curated record. NCBI's taxonomy places the organism in Eukaryota, Metazoa, Arthropoda, Malacostraca, Decapoda, Penaeidae. The transcript is spliced from 3 exons.
GUGGGGCCAGGACGCGGCCGUCUCGAAGGCGGGCCUCACUACCAUUAUUUCCUACUAAGGCACUCCAUACAUUGCGAGUUAUCAGUAGCAGCGCUGGCAAACUACGCAAGGGAAGGGAGCCAGGCGAGAUGGAGCGCCUGACAGAUAAGGUCCGGGACACGGUGGCGACCCAUAUGCCCUCGAAGGGCAACCCGGGCGGACAGAAGAAGAAGAGGCGCAAAAAG